This 484-nucleotide ribosomal RNA is filed under the name uncultured bacterium. Its description in RNAcentral is "partial 16S ribosomal RNA". It matches the Rfam family "Bacterial small subunit ribosomal RNA", at positions 30 to 507 of the family's 1533-position model. The record is from RNAcentral.
AUUGAACGCUGGCGGCAGGCCUAACACAUGCAAGUCGAGCGGAUGAAGGGAGCUUGCUCCUGGAUUCAGCGGCGGACGGGUGAGUAAUGCCUAGGAAUCUGCCUGGUAGUGGGGGAUAACGUCCGGAAACGGGCGCUAAUACCGCAUACGUCCUGAGGGAGAAAGUGGGGGAUCUUCGGACCUCACGCUAUCAGAUGAGCCUAGGUCGGAUUAGCUAGUUGGUGGGGUAAAGGCCUACCAAGGCGACGAUCCGUAACUGGUCUGAGAGGCUGAUCAGUCACACUGGAACUGGGACACGGUCCAGACUCCUACGGGAGGCAGCAGUGGGGAAUAUUGGACAGUGGGCGAAAGCCUGAUCCAGCCAUGCCGCGUGUGUGAAGAAGGUCUUCGGAUUGUAAAGCACUUUAAGUUGGGAGGAAGGGCAGUAAGUUAAUACCUUGCUGUUUUGACGUUACCAACAGAAUAAGCACCGGCUAACUUCGUG